RNAcentral lists this ribosomal RNA (465 nucleotides) under uncultured bacterium. RNAcentral's name for it is "partial 16S ribosomal RNA". It matches the Rfam family "Bacterial small subunit ribosomal RNA", at positions 338 to 795 of the family's 1533-position model. The record is from RNAcentral.
CCUACGGGUGACAGCAGUAGGGAAUCUUCCACAAUGGGCGAAAGCCUGAUGGAGCACCGCCGCGUGGGUGAAGAAGGUCUUCGGAUCGUAAAACCCUGUUGUUAGAGAAGAAAGUGCGUGAGAGUAACUGUUCACGUUUCGACGGUAUCUAACCAGAAAGCCACGGCUCACUACGUGCCAGCAGCCGCGGUAAUACGUAGGUGGCAAGCGUUAUCCGGAUUUAUUGGGCGUAACGGGAACGCAGGCGGUCUUUUAAGUCUGAUGUGAAAGCCUUGGGCUUAACCGGAGUAGUGCAUUGGAAACUGGGAGACUAGAGGGCAGAAGAGGAGAGUGGAACUCCAUGUGUAGCGGGGAAAUGCGUAGAUAUAUGGAAGAACACCAGUGGCGAAGGCGGCUCUCUGGUCUGUAACUGACGCUGAGGUUCGAAAGCGUGGGUAGCAAACAGGAUUAGAUACCCCUGUAGUC